RNAcentral lists this transfer RNA (72 nucleotides) under Menura novaehollandiae (superb lyrebird). It matches the Rfam family "tRNA". Rfam says of the family: Transfer RNA (tRNA) molecules are approximately 80 nucleotides in length. RNAcentral also lists the same sequence under 7 other names. Lineage: Eukaryota; Metazoa; Chordata; Aves; Passeriformes; Menuridae. The record is from Rfam by way of RNAcentral.
GUUCCUGUAGUUAAAUUUUCAUAACGGCGGUUUUUCAGGCCGUAGAUCUUGGAGAGAGUCCGAGCAGGAAUU